CUGCGAAAUGGAAUAUAUAUCUCUAAAGGAUUUGACACUGACACAACAACACGCCAAAAUCAAAAUCAGGGUUAGCAGAAUUUGGGAAUCGACAACGCCACAGCUUAAGAAAGAUAUUCUUAGCCUAGGUUGCCUUCUUAUAGAUGAAGAGGAAUAUGCAAUGCAAGCAACCAUUCGCAAACAUGAUGCAACCACUUUUAGAGCUUUACUUUCUGAAGGCAAUGCGUACAUAAUAGAAAACUUUAAUGUUAUACCAAGUAGAAAUACCUACAAAGUUGUCGAUCGCAGAUAUAUGAUCCAGAUUAGUAAAUGGACGCGUAUUAUUGAAGCAAAAGAAGAUGCUGCUCAGAUUCCUUUUCACAAUUUUUACUUUCUGAGCUUUGAUUAUAUAAAAAAUAAAAAAUAUGCAGAUGGUUGCCUUAUAGGUAUUGCAGUUUCACUUUCUUAUCUCAUUCCCCUUUUUUGGGAUAACUUAAAAAAUGAAUAAUAUCUAAUAACAUUUAUGUGUUUUUAUAUAUCUUCAGAUGUUAUCGGAAAUAUUGUAGCGACAGGUACAAUUUCUUAUACAUAUGUAGGACAAGAACGAACUGCAAUAAGAAAAUUGCAGAUUGGAAACUUAGAGGAUGAAACAUUAUCCGUCACAUUAUGGGACAAAUUUGCUAUUGAAUUUAAUGAUAACCAGCAUCAGGAAAAAGUCGAUGGUCCAGCUAUUGUUAUUUUUGCAAGUAUGAGUGUGCGAACCUACAGAGAUCAGCUCUAUAUAUCAACAUGUUCGGCAUAAAAAAUCUACGGCAAUUUGGAAAUACAAGAAGUUG
This is a long non-coding RNA of Ananas comosus (pineapple), 815 nucleotides long. RefSeq lists it as uncharacterized. Lineage: Eukaryota; Viridiplantae; Streptophyta; Magnoliopsida; Poales; Bromeliaceae. The transcript is spliced from 4 exons. The record is from RefSeq and is a predicted model, not a curated record.